AACGCCAGGGAGAGGGACACAGAGAUAGUGUGUCUUUGUAAUUAAUGCCUUGUCUUUUCCUGUCCACUCUUUGGUGCUCCUGAGUUUCUGAUUGAGACUUCAAAUGGCUCUAAUGGGUCCCAUUCAGGUGACACUUGAUGGGUUUUAACAAAGGUGUUUGAAGAAUCUAUGAGACCUCCUCUGUGGACCCCAGAUUCAGGAAGUUGUGGAAAGAUACUGGAAAAUACAAAAGAAGAACUCAAGCAAAACUUCCACACCGAUGUAACAAUCCUACAACUCAGAGAGGUGGCAACAACAGAGAAGCCUGAUUUCUGAGGCCAUGAUGUUUUCCAGGUUCUAACAGUACAAUAAGCAAAGAGAAUACCUAGAGGCAACAGCUUAGAAAUGAAGAAAUAAAACAACUUCUUCAGAGGAUAUAUUAUCAUUUACAUAGAAAAACCUAAAGACUUGACGGAAGAGCUACCAGCACUAAGAAAUGAGUCAGGCAAUGUUGGAUGGUGAAAGUUCAUACACUAAAUUUCAUAUAUAGCAAUGACCAAUGUAAAUCGAAGCCAGAAUGACAUCAAGAGCAUCAGAGUCAGGAGAUACUGGUAGAAAUAUGUUUGAUGAGACAUGUGCAAGAUCUGAACAAUGAUGGGAGAGGCCAAAUUUCAAAUAUGAAAUGUGUAAUGGGAAAAAAAAAUUCCAUAUCCAUUGAUCAGAAAGGAUAUCAAUAUUGUCAACCUGUCAUUUCUCUCCCAUUUUGAUCCUUGGAUUGAAUACAGUUCCAACUGAAAUCCUUCCAGGGUUUUAUGUGUGUGCUUUAUGUGGAAAUUGACAAGCUAAUUUAAAAAAAAAUUGCAUAGCUAUGCAAAGAACCUAGAAUAAUUAAAACAAUUUUGAAAAAUGAAGAACACACAGUACUUCUAUCAAGGCUUACCUCUAAAUUCUGUAAUUAAAACUAUGUGGCAUCAACAAUGUGAGAAAUGCAGAUUGACAGAGCAGAGUGAUCAUGUUGUUAGUUAUUUGGGGGUAAUUUAUUUUUCCGCUUCUUAAAACAAAAAUCAUCUACACUCAGUUCAACCAUUCAUCCCAAUUCUUCCUUAUCACAUCACCCAGCAGGUCUGGAAGCUGCUCUCCUCCAGAUGAGCUUAGAGGCUCCCCCUCUAUAGAAACUGCAGCUAUUCAGGCAGUUUCCAAAGCUUUUUUUUUUUUUUUUUUUUUUU
Molecule: long non-coding RNA, 1205 nt
Organism: Marmota monax (woodchuck)
Lineage: Eukaryota; Metazoa; Chordata; Mammalia; Rodentia; Sciuridae
Exons: 3
Source: RefSeq, a predicted model, not a curated record